This 301-nucleotide ribosomal RNA is filed under the name uncultured bacterium. Its description in RNAcentral is "partial 16S ribosomal RNA". It matches the Rfam family "Bacterial small subunit ribosomal RNA", at positions 509 to 807 of the family's 1533-position model. The record is from RNAcentral.
CAGCCGCCGCGGGAAAACGAAGGGGGCUAGCGUUGCUCGGAAUUACUGGGCGUAAAGCGCACGUGGGCGGACUCUUAAGUCAGGGGUGAAAUCCUGGAGCUCAACUCCAGAACUGCCUUUGAUACUGAGAGCCUUGAGUUCGGGAGAGGUGAGUGGAACUGCGAGUGUAGAGGUGAAAUUCGUAGAUAUUCGCAAGAACACCAGUGGCGAAGGCGGCUCACUGGCCCGAUACUGACGCUGAGGUGCGAAAGCGUGGGGAGCAAACAGGAUUAGAUACCCCGGUAGUCCCUGUCUCUUAUAC